GCUCUGCAGCAGCCAUCUUCACCUGGAUACUGCCGGGAGACGACCGGCCACUGCUGCUGCGUGAAAUGCAGGUAGCUGGUCUUGGGCCUCUUCGGCGGACCGUCCGAUGUGCUGCUGAAACUUUUAAUCGCAGGAGAGCCAACAAAGACGGCGUUCAAUGACACCAGAGUUCAGCUUGUGUCACAUACGAUUUGAGCGUGUCCCCAGUUCGGAAAUUGCAUCUUUUCUAUACAACAGACGCCCACGCGGUCUGACAACCUAGCCCUAGAGCAAGCUAAGCUACCGUCUGCUGGAUCUUACCUGAAAACGGAGACGCCUGUGAGGAAACCCAGCGGCUUGCUCAGGAGGCUGGCCCCUACUGACAUCAAGCUGAAGGAGACCAUUUUCUGGUUCUUCAAAACAAACGUCUAUUCAACCACUAGAUUACAAAGAAAGCAAUGUACUGAAUCGGGAAAGUUAUUUAUCUGGGUAAAAUGUUGACUUGUACCCCCAACGACCGUUUUUGACAAGACAUGGAGGUAAAAAAAAAACAAAAAAGGCGCUCAAAACGUUGUCUUGUCCCGCUUAGGGAGCCGAGGAACCGCGCCGCGUCUCCACGUUCAGAGUGACGUAGCUCUGUGGGCGCGGUCUAAGGGGCCGUGCACUUCAGCGCAAUUCAUUAUAUGCGCGGCUUUUCAACAUUUUCAGCGACUGCCCGAUAUAAUGUACAAAAUGCUGUAAAUAAGGUCUACAUAAAAAUUGUAAAAGCCUUCGAUUUGAAAAUGGACCUGCUGUUUCGCGGCCAAUCAAAGGGCAGCUGCAGCCGCGGUUCCCCCCCGCGCUCUUAUGGGACCGCCAGGCCGCGCGUUCUCGACGAAUUGCAUUGUGGGAAGGUAAAAAGGCCUGUCAACAUCUCGCACGCUUUGCAGUGGUUCACCACAUCCGUGAAAAGACUUUCUUGAAGACUUUUUCCACCAUAAAACCAAUAACGUUUUUAACGACUUAAAUAAAUCUUUAUAUUUCAACAAUAAAAUAGUAUCUGUUUCGAAA
Brienomyrus brachyistius is the source of this 1029-nucleotide long non-coding RNA. RefSeq lists it as uncharacterized. The transcript has 2 exons. NCBI's taxonomy places the organism in Eukaryota, Metazoa, Chordata, Actinopteri, Osteoglossiformes, Mormyridae. The record is from RefSeq and is a predicted model, not a curated record.